This 858-nucleotide ribosomal RNA is filed under the name Alternaria sp. CPCC 480213. RNAcentral's name for it is "SSU rRNA". It matches the Rfam family "Eukaryotic small subunit ribosomal RNA", at positions 37 to 906 of the family's 1831-position model. The record is from RNAcentral. Lineage: Eukaryota; Fungi; Ascomycota; Dothideomycetes; Pleosporales; Pleosporaceae.
CUCAAGAUUAAGCCAUGCAUGUCUAAGUAUAAGCAAUUAUACCGUGAAACUGCGAAUGGCUCAUUAAAUCAGUUAUCGUUUAUUUGAUAAUACCUUACUACUUGGAUAACCGUGGUAAUUCUAGAGCUAAUACAUGCUGAAAAUCCCGACUUCGGAAGGGAUGUGUUUAUUAGAUAAAAAACCAAUGCCCUUCGGGGCUUUUUGGUGAUUCAUGAUAACUUUACGGAUCGCAUAGCCUUGCGCUGGCGACGGUUCAUUCAAAUUUCUGCCCUAUCAACUUUCGAUGGUAAGGUAUUGGCUUACCAUGGUUUCAACGGGUAACGGGGAAUUAGGGUUCGAUUCCGGAGAGGGAGCCUGAGAAACGGCUACCACAUCCAAGGAAGGCAGCAGGCGCGCAAAUUACCCAAUCCCGACACGGGGAGGUAGUGACAAUAAAUACUGAUACAGGGCUCUUUUGGGUCUUGUAAUUGGAAUGAGUACAAUUUAAACCUCUUAACGAGGAACAAUUGGAGGGCAAGUCUGGUGCCAGCAGCCGCGGUAAUUCCAGCUCCAAUAGCGUAUAUUAAAGUUGUUGCAGUUAAAAAGCUCGUAGUUGAAACUUGGGCCUGGCUGGCGGGUCCGCCUCACCGCGUGCACUCGUCCGGCCGGGCCUUCCUUCUGAAGAACCUCAUGCCCUUCACUGGGCGUGCUGGGGAAUCAGGACUUUUACUUUGAAAAAAUUAGAGUGUUCAAAGCAGGCCUUUGCUCGAAUACGUUAGCAUGGAAUAAUAAAAUAGGGCGUGCGUUUCUAUUUUGUUGGGUUCUAGAGACGCCGCAAUGAUUAACAGGAACAGUCGGGGGCAUCAGUAUUCAGUUGUC